CGACGCUGGAACGGCUGCUAAUACCGGAUGAUAUCGCGAGAUCAAAGAUUUAUCGCCUGAGGAUGAGCCCGCGUUGGAUUAGGUAGUUGGUGGGGUAAAGGCCUACCAAGCCGACGAUCCAUAGCUGGUCUGAGAGGAUGAUCAGCCACACUGGGACUGAGACACGGCCCAGACUCCUACGGGAGGCAGCAGUGGGGAAUAUUGGACAAUGGGCGCAAGCCUGAUCCAGCAAUGCCGCGUGAGUGAUGAAGGCCUUAGGGUUGUAAA
This 267-nucleotide ribosomal RNA is filed under the name Sphingomonas paucimobilis. RNAcentral's name for it is "partial 16S ribosomal RNA". It matches the Rfam family "Bacterial small subunit ribosomal RNA", at positions 145 to 429 of the family's 1533-position model. Lineage: Bacteria; Pseudomonadati; Pseudomonadota; Alphaproteobacteria; Sphingomonadales; Sphingomonadaceae. The record is from RNAcentral.